Pelobates cultripes (western spadefoot toad) is the source of this 224-nucleotide non-coding RNA. NCBI's taxonomy places the organism in Eukaryota, Metazoa, Chordata, Amphibia, Anura, Pelobatidae. The record is from the annotation of a GenBank genome assembly.
UGUUGUUUUCCUUACACUCUACAUAUUAUGAACUGAAACAUUAUAAUUACUAAAACAAUCAUGCCAUUUGUUUCCCUGUAUCAGCAAUUUGUCCGUGAUAUAAAAAAAAAAAAAAAAGAAGGUUGCUAAAAUGUAAUUUGCAACUGUGGUGUGACCUACAAAUGAGAUCUGUUGGACACGAAUAUAAGAGCAUAACAGCUGAUUAUCCAGCUUCAUCUUACAAC